RNAcentral lists this long non-coding RNA (705 nucleotides) under Ananas comosus (pineapple). RNAcentral describes it as "long non-coding RNA (ACOM_LNC005353)". The record is from RNAcentral. Lineage: Eukaryota; Viridiplantae; Streptophyta; Magnoliopsida; Poales; Bromeliaceae.
AUAUUUCCGAGGCAAAUUGACCUCUUGGAAACCUAAUUGGGGGUAUUCCCGACGUGUGGGACAACUCUGUUUAAUGUUAUGAAAAGGUUAAGUAUAAGAUCUUGUACAUAGGGCCUAAUUUAGUUUUAUUUUGGGUUUAGGUCGCGGGAGAGGCGUCCUAAAAUCACGAGAGUCAAACUACAUGUCACGCCCCGGAGCCGAUACCAAUUUGGCCGGCCCGAGCACGUCGAACAGACGCCGAACGGACAGAGUUUCCCCUAUCCGCCCAAGGCUCAUCACGUGUACAAUUUCAAGAGAAUUGAAAUGCACUAGCGGAAACAUGCACAAACAGCUUACACGAGGGUAAGCAAUAGCCAUUAGUGAAAGAAAAGAAAACUAAACAUACACAAGUAACAUGAUUCAUUUUAGAUCAUCUACAUUGCACUCUUCCAAAAUCUUUACAUUCUUUCAUCAUUUCUUUUACAUCACAUUUACCGCAAAAUGAACAUUACAUUCUUUUCUUUACUUUGCUUUACACAUCAACAUCUUAAAUCAUCAAAUACAAAGAUGAUAAAAGGGGUAAACUACUAACAAAAUGUAACCCAACUCCGGUGGCCUCUGACUACGGUGCGAUACCUUUACCGCGGUCGCUCGCCGGCUCGCUCGGUCCCGGCUCUGUGGAAUAGUGGGGUGAGAACUACAACAAAGUUCCCAGUGGGUUCGGCC